This 245-nucleotide unclassified non-coding RNA is filed under the name plant metagenome. Its description in RNAcentral is "partial contains small subunit ribosomal RNA, internal transcribed spacer 1, and 5.8S ribosomal RNA". The record is from RNAcentral.
GCUCCGUUGGUGAACCAGCGGGGGGAUCAUUACCGAGUUUACAACUCCCAAACCCAAUGUGAACGUUACCAAACUGUUGCCUCGGCGGGGUCACGCCCCGGGUGCGUCGCAGCCCCGGAACCAGGCGCCCGCCGGAGGAACCAACCAAACUCUUUCUGUAGUCCCCUCGCGGACGUUAUUUCUUACAGCUCUGAGCAAAAAUUCAAAAUGAAUCAAAACUUUCAGCAACGGAUCUCUUGGUUCUG